UACGUAGGUGGCAAGCGUUGUUCGGAUUCAUUGGGCGUAAAGGGUGCGUAGGCGGCGCGGUAAGUCGGGUGUGAAAUCUCGGAGCUUAACUCCGAAACUGCAUUCGAUACUGCCGUGCUUGAGGACUGGAGAGGAGACUGGAAUUUACGGUGUAGCGGUGAAAUGCGUAGAUAUCGUAAGGAAGACCAGUGGCGAAGGCGGGUCUCUGGACAGUUCCUGACGCUGAGGCGCGAAAGCCAGGGGAGCAAACGGG
This 253-nucleotide ribosomal RNA is filed under the name uncultured bacterium. RNAcentral describes it as "partial 16S ribosomal RNA". It matches the Rfam family "Bacterial small subunit ribosomal RNA", at positions 524 to 776 of the family's 1533-position model. The record is from RNAcentral.